ACGACCUUACUUGAACAGGAUCUGUUCUAUAGGCUUGUACCGCUGCAUCCUAUACCAAUAAGGAGGCAAGCACUUUAGUUUGGUUGAUGCAAUCUCACCUCUAGGCCAGAGCGUGAUUAACGGCAUUGAUGCACCUGAUGGGUGUCAUCUGAUGGCUGUAGAGGAUCGUUCCUGUCUGUGAGCCUCUGGCUCACACUAGUGCAGGGUGGCCCAGAGGUUGUCUGACAGACU
Non-coding RNA from Hordeum vulgare subsp. vulgare (domesticated barley), 231 nucleotides. NCBI's taxonomy places the organism in Eukaryota, Viridiplantae, Streptophyta, Magnoliopsida, Poales, Poaceae. The record is from Rfam.